GUUGACCUCGAAUCAGGUAGGAAUACCCGCUGAACUU
This 37-nucleotide ribosomal RNA is filed under the name Scolecofusariella peltigerae. RNAcentral describes it as "Scolecofusarium ciliatum partial 28S ribosomal RNA". RNAcentral also lists the same sequence under 1 other name. The record is from RNAcentral. Lineage: Eukaryota; Fungi; Ascomycota; Sordariomycetes; Hypocreales; Nectriaceae.